UUUUUCAUUAUCCCACGAGGUAAGAAUCCAACACUUUACAUUAUUACUAGUAUUUUUCAAUGUUUUUCUAUCUACUCAAUCAACAUUGAGGCUGCCAUUUAGCAAAUAACAGCCUUCCAUUCAAUGUUGUCUGCACGUUAGUAAUGUCAUGUCAUUGAAGAAGAAAAUCUAGAUUAUACGUUGGCACAGAGCGCAAUAAUUCCAAAUUUUGUCAAAUAUGAAGCUUUCAAGUUUGAAAUACAGACCAAAUAACAAAAGAGAAAAUAAAUUUUAAAUUUAACAAAAGAGAAAACAAAUAAAAAUUUGAAGAGCCGUGCAAGCAAUUCUACUAUGUAAAUUCCCUUUUUUCUUUUUCCUAAUAGGUAAGGGGGCCAUGGUUAAAAG
This 384-nucleotide unclassified non-coding RNA is filed under the name Hevea brasiliensis (rubber tree). Lineage: Eukaryota; Viridiplantae; Streptophyta; Magnoliopsida; Malpighiales; Euphorbiaceae. The record is from RNAcentral.